This 774-nucleotide ribosomal RNA is filed under the name uncultured Neocallimastigales. RNAcentral describes it as "partial large subunit ribosomal RNA". It matches the Rfam family "Eukaryotic large subunit ribosomal RNA", at positions 24 to 616 of the family's 3401-position model. The record is from RNAcentral. Lineage: Eukaryota; Fungi; Neocallimastigomycota; Neocallimastigomycetes; Neocallimastigales.
UACGACUACAUAUCAGGCAUAUCAAUAAGCGGAGGAAAAGAAACUAACAAGGAUUCCCUUAGUAACGGCGAGUGAAGCGGGAAGAGCUCAAAUUUGAAAUCUUCAAGGUUUUACCUUGACGAAUUGUAGUUUAAAGAAGUGUUUUCUGUUGAAGUUUUGGUAAAAGUUCUUUGGAAUAGGACAUCAUAGAGGGUGAGAAUCCCGUAUUUGACCAUUAUUUUCAGCUGUGUGAUACACUUUCAAAGAGUCGGAUUGUUUGGGAAUGCAGUCCAAAAUGGGUGGUAAAUUUCAUCUAAAGCUAAAUAUUGGCGAGAGACCGAUAGCGAACAAGUACCGUGAGGGAAAGAUGAAAAGAACUUUGAAAAGAGAGUUAAACAGUACGUGAAAUUGUCAAAAGGGAAGCGUUUGACACCAGUGUUGUUUUCUCGAGAAUCAAUUAAAAAGAGUUGGAUUUUGUGUUGUAUUGACCUUAACAGCUUGCUUCACUCUUUUCCAGCUUUUUUUAAUGCACUUUUCGUUUAACAAGUCAACAUCAGUUUCUUUUGUUGUAAAAGGGUCAUUGGAAGGUGGCUUUCUCUUCGGAGAAAGUGUUUAUAGCCUUUGAUCUCUGCAAUCGGAGAGACUGAGGUCUGCAGCGUAGAUCCUUCGGGGUUAGAUACAUUUGUGCUAAGCUACAGCUUUUCAUAGACAACUUGUUGACUAUGUUUAGUCUUGUGACUUACCCGCUUAUGCUAUUUUACCUACGCUUAGGAUGUUGAGCGCAUGUCUCUCUCU